GAUGAACGCUGGCGGCGUGCCUAAUACAUGCAAGUCGAGCGAACAGACGAGGAGCUUGCUCCUCUGACGUUAGCGGCGGACGGGUGAGUAACACGUGGAUAACCUACCUAUAAGACUGGGAUAACUUCGGGAAACCGGAGCUAAUACCGGAUAAUAUAUUGAACCGCAUGGUUCAAUAGUGAAAGACGGUUUUGCUGUCACUUAUAGAUGGAUCCGCGCCGCAUUAGCUAGUUGGUAAGGUAACGGCUUACCAAGGCGACGAUGCGUAGCCGACCUGAGAGGGUGAUCGGCCACACUGGAACUGAGACACGGUCCAGACUCCUACGGGAGGCAGCAGUAGGGAAUCUUCCGCAAAGGGCGAAAGCCUGACGGAGCAACGCCGCGUGAGUGAUGAAGGUCUUCGGAACGUAAAACUCUGUUAUUAGGGAAGAACAAAUGUGUAAGUAACUAUGCACGUCUUGACGGUACCUAAUCAGAAAGCCACGGCUAACUACGUG
This 497-nucleotide ribosomal RNA is filed under the name uncultured bacterium. Its description in RNAcentral is "partial 16S ribosomal RNA". It matches the Rfam family "Bacterial small subunit ribosomal RNA", at positions 28 to 507 of the family's 1533-position model. The record is from RNAcentral.